This 69-nucleotide transfer RNA is filed under the name Jamesia sp. KM-2017. Its description in RNAcentral is "tRNA-Ile". Lineage: Eukaryota; Metazoa; Arthropoda; Insecta; Coleoptera; Cerambycidae. The record is from RNAcentral.
AGUGAAGUGCCUGAAAAAGGAUUAUUUUGAUAGAAUUGGCCAUGUGGACCCCCCGCCCCACCUUCACUA